CUGUGUGGAGAAAAGCUGGUACUCCUCAGGCAGGAUCCAGGAGCGGGGGGUAGAAGUUGUACUCCUCAGGCAGGAUCCAGGAGCGGUGGUAGAAGUUGUACUCCCCAGGCAGGAUCCAGGAGCGGGGGGUAGAAGUUGUACUCCCCAGGCAGGAUCCAGGAGCGGGGAUAGAAGUUGUACUCCUCAGGCAGGAUCCAGGAGCGGGGGGUAGAAGUUGUACUCCCCAGGCAGGAUCCAGGAGCGGGGGGUAGAAGUUGUACUCCCCAGGCAGGAUCCAGGAGCGGGGAUAGAAGUUGUACUCCCCAGCUAGGAUCCAGGAGUGGGGGUAGAAGUUGUACUCCUCAGGUAGUAUCCAGGAGCGGGGAUAGAAGUUGUACUCCUCAGGCAGGAUCCAGGAGCGGGGGGUAGAAGUUGUACUCCUCAGGCAGGAUCCAGGAGCGGUGGUAGAAGUUGUACUCCCCAGGUAGGGUCCAGGAGUGGGGGUAGAAGUUGUACUCCUCAGGUAGUAUCCAGGAGCGGGGAUAGAAGUUGUACUCCCCAGGCAGGAUCCAGGAGCGGUGGUAGAAGUUGUACUCCCCAGGCAGGAUCCAGGAGCGGGGGGUAGAAGUUGUACUCCUCAGGUAGUUUCCAGGAGCGGGGAUAGAAGUUGUACUCCCCAGGCAGGAUCCAGGAGUGGGGGUAGAAGUUGUACUCCUCAGGUAGUAUCCAGGAGCGGGGAUAGAAGUUGUACUCCUCAGGCAGGAUCCAGGAGUGGGGGUAGAAGUUGUACUCCUCAGGUAGUUUCCAGGAGCGGGGAUAGAAGUUGUACUCCCCAGGCAGGAUCCAGGAGUGGGGGUAGAAGUUGUACUCCUCAGGUAGUAUCCAGGAGCGGGGAUAGAAGUUGUACUCCCCAGGCAGGAUCCAGGAGCGGUGGUAGAAGUUGUACUCCUCAGGCAGGAUCCAGGAGUGGGGGUAGAAGUUUUACUCCUCAGGGAACAGCUCCUGCAUGGUCCUCACCGCUUGGCUCAGGUUGAUCUUUCUCAGCAUCUCU
RNAcentral lists this long non-coding RNA (1030 nucleotides) under Salmo salar (Atlantic salmon). RNAcentral's name for it is "lncRNA (ENSSSAG00000102227.1, ENSSSAG00000109103.1)". Lineage: Eukaryota; Metazoa; Chordata; Actinopteri; Salmoniformes; Salmonidae. The record is from RNAcentral.